UUCCCCUGUCCAGCCCCAGCUUCGAUCUCAGCCGCGCCAACUUCGGGAGGCUGUGGACUGGAAGAGGAGUACGGGGAGGAGCCCCGCGGAGCCUGGCGGAUCAGCAACUGCAGUCCCACCACCAAGACCACCGCCAGACGGGGAAAAGGGGCGGAGCCGAGAGAGAAAGGUAGAGGAAGUGGUUGUGAUAACGUCGAUGCCCUUAGGGAAGGGUACAAACGGAGGAACCAGGUAGGGGCAGUCAGGGCUGGGUUAGGCCCGGGUUCGGGGGCUCUGAGAUUUGACUUCCCCAAAUUCUCACCGAACCGGAAAAGCCAGAGUAGUCCCGAUGCGAGAACUGCCUGGGGCCCGGGAAUGGGAGACACGAGAGAGACGAGGGCCGUUGUGGGAGCUGCCCUGCGAUACUGGGUAAUAGGGAUCGUCCCGAAGGUGGAGGAGGGAUGUGUCAGUUGUUAUCCCAGAAACUCCCCCAACUCUUCCCUUUCCUUUCCAGGCGCUGAUGCUCUCUUCAAGCUGAUCCUCCCCCCAGUCGUAUAUAACUUAAAUUUAACCCAAGGUUCUCUCCAUCCCCUCAACCCGUUUCUUAGGGGAAGCGAAGGCAAGCAUCUAGCCGUUUGUUUUCAAAGUUUAUUCAACGGAUUCCCCCCCAGCCUGGCUGCCUGCGUGCAAACAUCCCAACCCAUCAAGCCUUCUGACACAGAGGUUCUCGGGAGGCUUGGAACAUCGGAACGGGGUCCCGGAAGGGACCUGAGCAAUCUCUUCAGCCCUCUUAUUUUACAGAUGAGGAAACUGAGGUCCAGAGAGAGGAAGGAGCGUGUCAAGGUCACAGAACUAGUUGGUGACAGAGUGGUGCUGGAGCUCAGAUUCACUGACUCAUCCUUUCUACUCUAUCAGGCCACACAGGAUUUUCCGGGCCAGGGAGGGAACCCCUCCCUGCUCUGGGGCUGAGGGAGUUCCCCUAUGUGCUAUAGGUAGGUAGGAGCCUGGAGUCUCUAGAAUAUAAGCUUCUUGAAGACAGGAACUUUUUAAUCCCUUCUUUAUCUUUGUCUCCAACCUUAAACUUAGUCCCUCUGAGAGUAGACACUUAAAA
This is a long non-coding RNA of Antechinus flavipes (yellow-footed antechinus), 1090 nucleotides long. RefSeq lists it as uncharacterized. The record is from RefSeq and is a predicted model, not a curated record. The transcript is spliced from 2 exons. Lineage: Eukaryota; Metazoa; Chordata; Mammalia; Dasyuromorphia; Dasyuridae.